Molecule: ribosomal RNA, 333 nt
Filed under: Triticum aestivum (bread wheat)
Lineage: Eukaryota; Viridiplantae; Streptophyta; Magnoliopsida; Poales; Poaceae
Description: partial small subunit ribosomal RNA
Source: RNAcentral
AUGCAAAGAAACAAAAAUAAGAUUACACGGUACUGGACGGGACAUGAUGUCCAAUUAUUCAAGACAACAAGAACAUUUCGACUAUCUCAGCAUGAAAUCCCGGCGUAUAGACUUUCUUAUGCAAUAGCUGCGUCAAAUUCAACAUCCUUGGUACAGACACGAUCGCAUCCAGUUGUGCAAUUCUCUAUGACAUCUUUCUCUUGUUCAAGUGUUUGUGGUGUUGCAGACGGAGGACAUGCAUCCCAACUUGCAAUACUCAAUGACUUAUGCUUCGUUUGGGAAAACAAACCUCGUGUGUUUAAAUAUAAUUCUUUGUGCUUGAGAGGAAAAUAG